CCUACGGGAGGCAGCAGUGAGGAAUAUUGCGCAAUGGGGGAAACCCUGACGCAGCAACGCCGCGUGGGUGAAGAAGGCCUUCGGGUCGUAAAGCCCUUUCGGACGGGACGAACGUUCCGCGGGGUCAAGCCGCGGAAUCUGACGGUACCGUAAGAAGAAGCACCGGCUAACUCCGUGCCAGCAGCCGCGGUAAUACGGAGGGUGCAAGCGUUGUUCGGAAUUACUGGGCGUAAAGCGCGUGUAGGCGGCCUUGUAAGCCAGACGUGAAAGCCCCCGGCUU
RNAcentral lists this ribosomal RNA (280 nucleotides) under uncultured bacterium. RNAcentral's name for it is "partial 16S ribosomal RNA". It matches the Rfam family "Bacterial small subunit ribosomal RNA", at positions 338 to 610 of the family's 1533-position model. The record is from RNAcentral.